This 271-nucleotide unclassified non-coding RNA is filed under the name Hevea brasiliensis (rubber tree). Lineage: Eukaryota; Viridiplantae; Streptophyta; Magnoliopsida; Malpighiales; Euphorbiaceae. The record is from RNAcentral.
UCAUUGAUACUGAGAUUGUUGUUAAGAUUAAGAUUAUUAACGAUUACUAUUUAGUUAAUUUCAUCGAUUUCGAUUUUUUUUAUUGGGUUGAUUGUGGAUUAUCGCAAUUUAGCUAUGGAUUCUCAAAACAAGAGUAAUCGUCAGGUGCAGAGAGCUCCUUGCUUCUCAAAUGUUAGACGGAGGAAUGCGGCUUCACCAUCUGUCAUUGUAAUAGGAGGUGGAUUUGCAGGCCUUGCAGCUGCUCGGACACUUUAUGAUGCAUCAUUUCAGG